GGACCUAAGCCGAGGCCGAAAGGCGUAGGUGAUGGACAACAGGUUGAUAUUCCUGUACCGCCAAUAAGCGUUUGAGAGAUGGAGUGACACAGUAGGAUAAGCUAACCGUACUGUUGGUUAUGUACGGCUAAGCAUUGAGGCAGUCUAAAUAGGCAAAUCCGUUUAGACAAUGCUAGGAUGUGAUGGGGAAGCCCUUCGGGGCGAAGUAGCUGAUUUCACACUGUCAAGAAAAGCUUCUAUCGAGUUUAAAGGCGCCCGUACCGUAAACCGACACAGGUGGGUGAGGAGAGUAUCCUAAGGCCAGCGAGAGAACUAUUGUUAAGGAACUCGGCAAAAUGACCCCGUAACUUAGGGAGAAGGGGUGCCUGUCUAUGACAGGCCGCAGAGAAUAGGCCCAAGCGACUGUUUACCAAAAACACAGGUUUCUGCUAAGUCGCAAGACGAUGUAUAGGAGCUGACGCCUGCCCGGUGCUGGAAGGUUAAGGGGAUCUGUUAGAGCAAUCGAAGCAGUGAACUUAAGCCCCAGUAAACGGCGGCCGUAACUAUAACGGUCCUAAGGUAGCGAAAUUCCUUGUCGGGUAAGUUCCGACCCGCACGAAAGGCGUAACGAUUUGGGCACUGUCUCAACAAUAGACUCGGUGAAAUUGUAAUCCCGGUGAAGAUGCCGGGUACCUGCGACAGGACGGAAAGACCCCAUGGAGCUUUACUGUAGCUUGACGUUGGGUCUUGGUACUACAUGUACAGGAUAGGUGGGAGACUAUGAAGCAUGGACGCCAGUCUGUGUGGAGUCAUCCUUGGGAUACCACCCUUGUAGUACUGGGAUCCUAACCAUAGGCCUUGAAUCAGGUCUUGGAACACCGUCAGGUGGGCAGUUUGACUGGGGCGGUCGCCUCCUAAAAAGUAACGGAGGCGCUCAAAGGUUUCCUCAGCACGGUCGGAAAUCGUGCGAAGAGUGUAAAGGCAAAAGGAAGCUUGAUUGCAAGACAUACAGGUCGAGCAAGGACGAAAGUCGGACUUAGUGAUCCGGUGGUACCGCAUGGAAGGGCCAUCGCUCAACGGAUAAAAGCUACCCUGGGGAUAACAGGCUUAUCUCCCCCAAGAGU
This 1103-nucleotide ribosomal RNA is filed under the name human gut metagenome. Its description in RNAcentral is "bacterial LSU rRNA". It matches the Rfam family "Bacterial large subunit ribosomal RNA", at positions 1387 to 2499 of the family's 2925-position model. The record is from RNAcentral.